Molecule: non-coding RNA, 155 nt
Filed under: Helianthus annuus (common sunflower)
Lineage: Eukaryota; Viridiplantae; Streptophyta; Magnoliopsida; Asterales; Asteraceae
Source: RNAcentral
UUAUUUAAUAUGGACUCUGUUAUUUAACAAUUAUGGACAUUCUAAUUGUCCACUAGCAGGUAAACUUCAGAGGGGGCCCGCCUAAGGUCGGCCCAAGAGGUCAAGCCUACGUCAUAAUUUGUGGUAGCGGAGGCCUGCGUUUGCGCGGCCUCUAA